UGUGAAGCUAGUGAUCGUUGUGGAGGAGGAAAUGCAGAGAGGCAUCUCCAAGGCCCCAUCAAAUACAGAAUUGCUUGCAUUGACCCCAGUAUUUUCAGGCUUUGCUUGGAUGGAGUUAACAGAACGAGAGAGUUUGGAGGAGUAAAACUCCCCCUCCGUAAGUCCCUCCAUCCGAGCAUGUGGUUUAAAGUUCAAUCCCAAAUUCUAUAAUUUGCUAGCAGUCUCAGAAUGGUCCUUGUAGUUAGAGUUGUCUUGAGGUUGCCUUCCGUAGUCUUUGAAGUUCUUUCAAUUUGGCUCAAACAGCUAACUGUUUAUAGGAGGAAUCAGCUCCCUAACGCGUUCAAGUGAUUUCAUGGGGAGAACAUAUUGGAGAAUUCUCUCUUACCUGAAAUUUUUUUAUUUUAUUUUCC
Non-coding RNA from Punica granatum (pomegranate), 410 nucleotides. Lineage: Eukaryota; Viridiplantae; Streptophyta; Magnoliopsida; Myrtales; Lythraceae. The record is from RefSeq and is a predicted model, not a curated record.